AUUGAACGCUGGCGGCAGGCCUAACACAUGCAAGUCGAACGAGUGGCGGACGGGUGAGUAAUGUCUGGGAAACUGCCCGAUGGAGGGGGAUAAAUACUGGAAACGGUAGCUAAUACCGCAUACCAUCGGAUGUGCCCAGAUGGGAUUAGCUUGUAGUUGAGGUAACGGCUCACCUAGCCGACGAGCCCUAGAUGGUGUGAGAGAAUGACCAGCCACACUGGGACUGUGACCCGGUCCAGACGCGUACGGGAGGCAGCAGUGGGGAAUAUUGCACAGUGGGUGAAAGCCUGAUGCAGCCAGGCCGCGUGGAUGAAGAAGGCCUUCGGGUUGUAAAGUACGUGCAGCGGGGAGGCGUUACCCGCAGAAGAAGCACCGGCUAACGCCGUGCCAGCAGCCGAGGUAAUUC
This 406-nucleotide ribosomal RNA is filed under the name uncultured bacterium. RNAcentral's name for it is "partial 16S ribosomal RNA". It matches the Rfam family "Bacterial small subunit ribosomal RNA", at positions 29 to 526 of the family's 1533-position model. The record is from RNAcentral.